Unclassified non-coding RNA from Nomascus leucogenys (northern white-cheeked gibbon), 155 nucleotides. Lineage: Eukaryota; Metazoa; Chordata; Mammalia; Primates; Hylobatidae. The record is from Ensembl.
GCAUGGUGUGAUUAACCUACUAACCCAGGGCUCAGCCGGGACGCUGUGGCGCGUGACGAGGUGCCUGGCCUUCUGCCAACCAACUAACCCACUAACCAGGCCCGAGCAUGCCCUACUAACCACCCCCCCCCCCCCGCAGCCAGAUCCUACUAACC